Molecule: ribosomal RNA, 421 nt
Filed under: uncultured bacterium
Lineage: Bacteria
Description: bacterial SSU rRNA
Rfam family: Bacterial small subunit ribosomal RNA
Source: RNAcentral
UAAGGAAUACUGGUCAAUGGACGCAAGUCUGAACCAGCCAUGCCGCGUGAAGGAUGAAGGUCCUCUGGAUUGUAAACUUCUUUUAUCUGGGACGAAAACGGGAUUUUUAUCUCAAUUGACGGUACCAGAGGAAUAAGCGCCGGCUAACUCCGUGCCAGCAGCCGCGGUAAUACGGAGGGUGCGAGCGUUAUCCGGAUUUACUGGGUUUAAAGGGUGCGUAGGUGGGCUUAUAAGUCAGUGGUGAAAUCUCCGAGCUUAACUUGGAAACUGCCGUUGAUACUAUAGGUCUUGAAUUAUCUGGAGGUAAGCGGAAUAUGUCAUGUAGCGGUGAAAUGCUUAGAUAUGACAUAGAACACCAAUUGCGAAGGCAGCUUACUACAUAUAAAUUGACGCUGAGGCACGAAAGCGUGGGGAUCAAACA